AAGGAGAAGGGAGUUCUCAGCGUCAGCGAGUUCGUUCUCGCCAGUGAUAAUCUCGUCUUCAAGUGCCCUACCUGGUCAUGCUGGUGAUCCAAGCAAGAGAAAGCCAUACUUGCCUUCAGAGAAACAGUUUUUGAUUACUAGGAAUGUUUACAGUAUUUUCUCAUACCAUUUUGUACGCCAGCCACCGAGAGAGAGAAGACAGUGAGGGAGAUGGCGGCGAAGAGAGAAUUCCUUGACUUGACGGGGAUUCCUUUCACCAGAGGCAACUCUUCAGUCGAAUAUUCUUGUGGCUCAAGAACCAGAUGACGAUAGUAUCCUGCGGACCAGAACAUAUAAUGUUAGCAUCACGU
Molecule: long non-coding RNA, 350 nt
Organism: Brassica oleracea var. oleracea
Lineage: Eukaryota; Viridiplantae; Streptophyta; Magnoliopsida; Brassicales; Brassicaceae
Exons: 4
Source: RefSeq, a predicted model, not a curated record